This 376-nucleotide ribosomal RNA is filed under the name uncultured bacterium. Its description in RNAcentral is "bacterial SSU rRNA". It matches the Rfam family "Bacterial small subunit ribosomal RNA", at positions 524 to 898 of the family's 1533-position model. The record is from RNAcentral.
UACAGAGGGUGCAAGCGUUAAUCGGAAUUACUGGGCGUAAAGGGUGUGUAGGUGGUAAUGUAAGUUAGGUGUGAAAUCCUCGGGCUUAACCUGAGAAUUGCGCUUAAUACUGCAUUUCUAGAGUACUGCAGAGGGCAGUGGAAUUUCCAGUGUAGCGGUGAAAUGCGUAGAUAUUGGAAGGAACACCAGUGGCGAAGGCGACUGCCUGGAUAGAUACUGACACUGAGACACGAAAGCGUGGGUAGCAAACAGGAUUAGAUACCCUGGUAGUCCACGCUGUAAACGAUGAGAACUUGCUGUUGGGUGCAUAAAAGCACUUAGUAGCGGAGCUAACGCGUUAAGUUCUCCGCCUGGGGAGUACGGCCGCAAGGUUAAA